CAAUUAUUAGGUUUAUUUUUAAACAGACAGACUGAGAGUAUGCCAGUCACUUAGGGUGUGCUCUUCUUGGGGACAGCAUCCCUAAAGUGUACUUUUGUCGGUGACAGCCAGCCCUAAAGUGAUGCUUUGCUAAGUGGCAUACCAGGAUUUGAGACUAUCUCAUGUUCCCCUUACCAAAUUCCUACUGGGAUACCUUAUGCUGUUUCUCCUCU
Molecule: long non-coding RNA, 212 nt
Filed under: Bos taurus (domestic cattle)
Lineage: Eukaryota; Metazoa; Chordata; Mammalia; Artiodactyla; Bovidae
Description: long non-coding RNA NONBTAT024249
Source: RNAcentral